This 478-nucleotide ribosomal RNA is filed under the name uncultured bacterium. Its description in RNAcentral is "SSU rRNA". It matches the Rfam family "Bacterial small subunit ribosomal RNA", at positions 26 to 518 of the family's 1533-position model. The record is from RNAcentral.
AGGACGAACGCUGGCGGCGUGCUUAACACAUGCAAGUCGAGCGGUAAGGCUCCUUCGGGAGUACACGAGCGGCGAACGGGUGAGUAACACGUGAGCAAUCUGCCCUUCACACUGGGAUAACCCCGGGAAACCGGGGCUAAUACCGGAUGCGACCACCGACGGCAUCGUCUGGUGGUGGAAAGUUCCGGCGGUGGAGGAUGAGCUCGCGGCCUAUCAGCUUGUUGGUGGGGUAAUGGCCUACCAAGGCUUCGACGGGUAGCCGGCCUGAGAGGGUGACCGGCCACACUGGGACUGAGACACGGCCCAGACUCCUACGGGAGGCAGCAGUGGGGAAUAUUGGACAAUGGGCGAAAGCCUGAUCCAGCAACGCCGCGUGAGGGAUGACGGCCUUCGGGUUGUAAACCUCUUUCAGUAGGGACGAAGCGAAAGUGACGGUACCUACAGAAGAAGGACCGGCCAACUACGUGCCAGCAGCCGC